UGUCAAUAUACAGGUUUGGGUAUUGAAAAGUGAUGAUCGAGGAGAUGAUGACACAUCAAAAGAAAAUUAGCACUACGUCCAAGUUUUUGAAUUCAUCCACUGAAUUCAAAAGAUGGGGUAGGAAAUCCCCCUUAAUCUGAUAUGGGCUUUCAAUGAUUUCCCUUAACUGUUUUUGGAGCUCUUAGCCUUGGACAUAUGUUGAAAGGCAGCAAGGAUAUUGCCAUGGUGAAAGAUGAUCAAGAAUGGGAGAUAAUCGAAGCCAGAAAAGCGCUGUCCAGAACUGGGCCGCUAGAUUCAUACAAGCCAAAGAACUUAUCACUUGAAGAGGAGCUGAAGGCUUUACAAAAGAAGGUUGACAUAAAUGAUUACGAGUAUAAGUAAAUACCAAAUCUUAAUGAAGGGAUGUGAAUAGGUUUGGAAACAUUCAUCAAAAAAGAUGUCAAUGAGAAAGUUUUAAGAGUCAGUCAUUGUUUUCCAGGUUUAUAUUUUUGUAGGAUGUAACAUUGAAUGGUGCUUCCUUAUGGAUAGUCCUGUCUUGAAGGUCAC
Long non-coding RNA from Impatiens glandulifera, 546 nucleotides. RefSeq lists it as uncharacterized. The transcript is spliced from 3 exons. The record is from RefSeq and is a predicted model, not a curated record. Lineage: Eukaryota; Viridiplantae; Streptophyta; Magnoliopsida; Ericales; Balsaminaceae.